Molecule: ribosomal RNA, 371 nt
Filed under: uncultured organism
Description: bacterial SSU rRNA
Rfam family: Bacterial small subunit ribosomal RNA
Source: RNAcentral
CAGAGGGGGCGAGCGUUGUUCGGAAUUACUGGGCGUAAGGGCGCGUAGGCGGCCCGCUAAGUCGAACGUGAAAUCCCCAGGCUCAACCUGGGAACUGCGUCCGAUACUGGCAGGCUUGAAUCCGGGAGAGGGAUGUGGAAUUCCAGGUGUAGCGGUGAAAUGCGUAGAUAUCUGGAGGAACACCGGUGGCGAAGGCGGCAUCCUGGACCGGUAUUGACGCUGAGGCGCGAAAGCUAGGGGAGCAAACGGGAUUAGAUACCCCGGUAGUCCUAGCCCUAAACGAUGAAUGCUUGGUGUGGCGGGUAUCGAUCCCUGCCGUGCCGAAGCUAACGCAUUAAGCAUUCCACCUGGGGAGUACGGUCGCAAGGCUG